GAUGAACGCUGGCGGCGUGCCUAAUACAUGCAAGUCGAGCGAACGGACGAGAAGCUUGCUUCUCUGAUGUUAGCGGCGGACGGGUGAGUAACAUGUGGAUAACCUACCUAUAAGACUGGGAUAACUUCGGGAAACCGGAGCUAAUACCGGAUAAUAUUUUGAACCGCAUGGUUCAAAGGUGAAAGACGGUCUUGCUGUCACUUAUAGAUGUAUCCGCGCUGCAUUAGCUAGUUGGUAAGGUAACGGCUUACCAAGGCAACGAUGCAUAGCCGACCUGAGAGGAUGAUCGGCCACACUGGAACUGAGACACGGUCCAGACUCCUACGGGAGGCAGCAGUAGGGAAUCUUCCGCAAUGGGCGAAAGCCUGACGGAGCAACGCCGCGUGAGUGAUGAAGGUCUUCGGAUCGUAAAACUCUGUUAUUAGGGAAGAACAUAUGUGUAAGUAACUGUGCACAUCUUGACGGUACCUAAUCAGAAAGCCACGGCUAACUACGUG
This 497-nucleotide ribosomal RNA is filed under the name uncultured bacterium. RNAcentral describes it as "partial 16S ribosomal RNA". It matches the Rfam family "Bacterial small subunit ribosomal RNA", at positions 28 to 507 of the family's 1533-position model. The record is from RNAcentral.